This 465-nucleotide ribosomal RNA is filed under the name uncultured Klebsiella sp. RNAcentral's name for it is "bacterial SSU rRNA". It matches the Rfam family "Bacterial small subunit ribosomal RNA", at positions 338 to 795 of the family's 1533-position model. The record is from RNAcentral. Lineage: Bacteria; Pseudomonadati; Pseudomonadota; Gammaproteobacteria; Enterobacterales; Enterobacteriaceae.
CCUACGGGGGGCUGCAGUGGGGAAUAUUGCACAAUGGGCGCAAGCCUGAUGCAGCCAUGCCGCGUGUGUGAAAAAGGCCUUCGGGUUGUAAAGCACUUUCAGCGGGGAGGAAGGCGGUGAGGUUAAUAACCUCAUCGAUUGACGUUACCCGCAGAAGAAGCACCGGCUAACUCCGUGCCAGCAGCCGCGGUAAUACGGAGGGUGCAAGCGUUAAUCGGAAUUACUGGGCGUAAAGCGCACGCAGGCGGUCUGUCAAGUCGGAUGUGAAAUCCCCGGGCUCAACCUGGGAACUGCAUUCGAAACUGGCAGGCUAGAGUCUUGUAGAGGGGGGUAGAAUUCCAGGUGUAGCGGUGAAAUGCGUAGAGAUCUGGAGGAACACCGGUGGCGAAGGCGGCCCCCUGGACAAAGACUGACGCUCAGGUGCGAAAGCGUGGGGAGCAAACAGGAUUAGAUACCCGUGUAGUC